This 68-nucleotide microRNA precursor is filed under the name Bombyx mori (domestic silkworm). RNAcentral's name for it is "mir-2774 microRNA precursor family". It matches the Rfam family "mir-2774 microRNA precursor family". The record is from Rfam by way of RNAcentral. Lineage: Eukaryota; Metazoa; Arthropoda; Insecta; Lepidoptera; Bombycidae.
ACAAGAAUCGGACUGUCGGUCUACCGAGCAAAUAUCACCCGGCCGGUGGAAGAUCUUCCUUUUGUCGU